This is a regulatory RNA element of Lachnospiraceae bacterium 28-4, 160 nucleotides long. The record is from Rfam. NCBI's taxonomy places the organism in Bacteria, Bacillati, Bacillota, Clostridia, Lachnospirales, Lachnospiraceae.
UUGCAUACAAUCAGUAAUUUCACUUAUGAAAUGGUCGAUAAUCAGAGUGAAAUCGCCAGGACGGCGGUUUCAGGAAGCAUAAGGCAUGGAUGCCGUUGCUUCCGACUCGUUCGGUUUUAUCAUGUUACCCAUUUCAUUAGUGAAAUCUGAUUGGAAGCUC